RNA transcript from Zingiber officinale, 2862 nucleotides. RefSeq lists it as uncharacterized. Lineage: Eukaryota; Viridiplantae; Streptophyta; Magnoliopsida; Zingiberales; Zingiberaceae. The transcript has 12 exons. The record is from RefSeq and is a predicted model, not a curated record.
UUCCAUCUCUCCAAAAAUUUUUUGACGCCCUAUUUCCCCCCUUAGCCUAUCCAAACCCUAAACCUUUCUCGUCAUACGAGAUCUUCAUACGGCUCUCCUCAUACAAUCUUGGCGAGUGUGGAAGUAUGCCCCUUUUUUAAAAUGCGAGGUAGGAGCGUGGGUGGUUGCUGCUGCUUGUGCAGAUUGCUGGGUGGAGGUGGCGAUGGAAGCGGAGGCGACCUCCUCGGUCCUGGGUUCUCUCCGCCUUGGGGGGGGGGGGGUCUUCUCCAUGAUCGCCUUCCAAGUUGCUUCCAUAGAGUCAUUCUCCUCCGAGCUCUCCGCCUCCUUGUCCAAUGGAUCACCGUCGGAAUUUGGAUCUAGGAGUUUAGGCGUUGCCGGCGUAGGUCGGGGCGAGAGAGGGACGACUUGAGCAGCGGGAGGAGGAGGGGCACUCUCGAAAGACUUGAUCUUCACGGCUUCCGUCGCCUCCGGCGGCCCGUGGUGGUGCUUUUGGUCGGAGAGCUUCCAAAUGAUGAGGACGAUGAGAUGGAUGACGACGAAGAGAUAUGGCGGCAAGAGGCAGGAGCAGAGGGGAGGGGGCAGGACGGCGCCGCUGUUGGUCUGUCGUCAUCGUCGACCAAGAGCUGGGCGCAGCAGGCUGAGGAGACAUACCAGCUCUAGCUAGCUCUGGCGCUUCGGCUCUGCUCCGAGGCGGCCUACGCGGAGGACCCUAAUUUCUUGGACGCUGCAGAUCAGAUGGUGCUGCCGGAACGUGCUGCUCCUACUUCCUUGUCCCAUCGAUUCUGGGUUUGGAGACAGUUUCAUCCUCUCUGUACAAUCUGAACCGGGCGGCGCAAGUGGCCUUCCCCGGCGAAGAGAUACUGGCGAGAGCUAAGAGCUUCACCUAUGCCUUCUUGUGAGAGAAACAAGCUGCACACCAGCUGCUCGACAAAUGGAUCAUCACCAAGGAUUUGCCCGGGGAGGUGGAGUAUGCUCUGGAUUUCCCCUGGUACGCGAGCCUGCCUCUCAUUGAGGCAAGACUCUACUUGGAGCAGUAUGAGGGGGAAGUGAUAUUUGGAUUGGCAAGACUCUCUACAGGAUGCCUCUGGUAAACAAUGAUAUGUAUUUGGAGUUGGCUAAGUUGGACUUUAACCAUUGCCAAGCUCACCAUCAGCUGGAGUGGCUCUAUCUUCAAAAGUGGUACGAGGAGGCAGGCCUUGGAUGGCAUGGUGUGAGCAGAAGAACCCUGUUGGAGGACUUCUUCUUAGCAGCCUCUUGCAUAUUCGAACCCGAACGCAAGACUGAGAGGUUGGGUUGGGUUCGAACCCUGGUUUUCUCGAAGGCCAUUUCAGCCUACUUUGGCAGGGACUCAUGCACUGAUACUAUGAGACAAGCACUGAUACUGAACUUCCUCAAUGCUAAUGACUGCUACAGCAAUGAGCAUGGCACCAACAGGUCAGUGCUAGACACCAUCCCAUUCAAAUUUAAGAAUCGAAAACUCUCGAAACAGGUCAGUGCUAGGCACCAACAUUUCAGCCUACUGUUCUGUCUGAAUUUACUAAUGGUGGCAAUUAUUAUGUGCACGCGUGUUAUGCAUCCCCAGCCUAUUUCUUUGGAGGUGGUGAAUUGUAUUGAAGAUUGCUUGGUCACUGCACUUAUAUGCAAUCUUUUGUUCCUAGCUAUAUAAAUGUCAUUUCUGUUGCAUUCUUCAUGUUAUGAUCAGGCUGUCAAAGACUGGAAUGAUUACUCCACGUAUGUGAAUCAAUGAUACAACCAUCAUAUUCAGGAACAAUCUAUCUGAGUGGUCAAUGAAACUGAGAACUCUCAGGAGGCCUUACAGGUUCCUGACAUUAUUUUGCGGCAGCUUGCGGAAAAAUAUCAUGGGAUACGGAGGUUUUCCUUCUAAUUUGAGGACUUCAAAAGGAGGUCUUUCUUUGAGUAUUGAUGUCUCUACUACUAUGACUGUGUGUCCUGGACUAUUGGUUGGUUUUCUACUUGCAAAUCAAAAUGUCAAGGAUGCAUACCAACUGGACUGAAACAAGGUUCUAUUGACAAAGUUUCUUAGCGUGCCACCAACGUUCCAAGUAACAUCAAAUGUUGUCCAGGAUUUGACAACAUACAUAAUAUUUUGCAGGUUCUGUCCUUCAUUGGCCUAUUUCCUAUGCAGACAUACAUAAUCAAUUAGUAGAUAGGAUGAGUGGUGCAUCAAUUAAUCAGUUAGUUUUGGUGCCAAGUUGCAAUGGUUUCCAUUUGAAUUUGACUGUCAUUAAACCUCAUAAGGAGAUUGUUUAUGUGUUGGAUUCUUUAAGUCAUCGCAUUUGUGAUGAAGAUUGGAAAUAUGUUAUGGAAAUGGCGUUAAGAUUAUUUAAUUCGAACAAUGGAAGGAAAGGAAGAAAGCAUGUACAAUGGGAAGUAAUCAAGGCUCCUAGGCAGCCAGAUGCGAAACAAUGUGGUUAUUACGUGAUGAGAUUUAUGAGACAAAUUACUAAAGAAAUUGCAAUGAUCGAGGGGGAUACACUACCAUCAAUAUUCACAAAAACGGAAUACUCUCAAGAAGAAAUUAAUGAAGUGCGCUCUGAAAUAGCCGAAUGCAUACAAGAUCAUAUUUAUGAAUAGGGAAAAGAUAAUGACCAUACCCAGAAAGGAGAAGAAAAGAGAAGCUAGGAGGGAGGAGAAAGCACAGGGUGUUUAGAAAGCAUAUAUAAACUCUGCAUAAUACCUCAGGGAAAAGGCUGCAGUUCUUGAUAUGGUGUUUAGAAGAUGCACAGGGUAUUUAGAAGAUGCACAGGUAGAGAAGAUUUGAUCCAACAAAAUAAGAUAUUUUGGACUUCAUAUAUAUGUGUGAUAUAUUGUUAAGGGUACUAUUUAGUUUUGUAAACUUUU